UACUGGGCGUAAAGGGCGCGUAGGCGGUGAUGUGAGUGUGAUGUGAAAGCCCCGGGCUUAACCUGGGAAGUGCAUCGCAAACGACAUGACUGGAGUAGAUGAGAGGGUGGCGGAAUUUCCGGUGUAGCGGUGAAAUGCGUAGAGAUCGGAAGGAACGUCAAAGGCGAAGGCAGCCACCUGGCAUCAUACUGACGCUGAGGCGCGGAAAGCGUGGGGAGCGAACAGGAUUAGAUACCCUGGGUAGUCCACGCUGUAAACGAUGAGAACUAAAUGUUGGAGGGGGAACCCUUCAGUAUUGAAGCUAACCGCGAUAAGUUCUCCGCCUGGGAAGUACAGUCGCAAGACUGAAACUCAAAAGAAUUGACGGGGGCCCGCACAAGCGGUGGAGCAUGUGGUUUAAUUCGAUGCAACGCGAAGAACCUUACCUACCCUUGACAUCCUGCGAAUCCCGAUGAGAGUUGGGAGUGCCGCAAGGAACGCAGAGACAGGUGCUGCAUGGCUGUCGUCAGCUCGUGUUGUGAGAUGUUGGGUUAAGUCCCGUAACGAGCGCAACCCUUGUCCUUAGUUGCCAUCAUUUAGUUGGGGACUCUAAGGAGACUGCCGGUGAUGAACCGGAGGAAGGCGGGGACGACGUCAAGUCAUCAUGGCCUUUAUGGGUAGGGCUACACACGUGCUACAAUGGGGCGUACAGAGGGUCGCCAACCCGCGAGGGGGAGCCAAUCUCUUAAAGCGUCUCGUAGUCCGGAUUGGAGUCUGCAACUCGACUCCAUGAAGUCGGAAUCGC
RNAcentral lists this ribosomal RNA (784 nucleotides) under uncultured Aquicella sp. RNAcentral's name for it is "bacterial SSU rRNA". It matches the Rfam family "Bacterial small subunit ribosomal RNA", at positions 552 to 1335 of the family's 1533-position model. The record is from RNAcentral. Lineage: Bacteria; Pseudomonadati; Pseudomonadota; Gammaproteobacteria; Legionellales; Coxiellaceae.